Molecule: ribosomal RNA, 254 nt
Filed under: uncultured bacterium
Lineage: Bacteria
Description: partial 16S ribosomal RNA
Rfam family: Bacterial small subunit ribosomal RNA
Source: RNAcentral
CACGUAGGGCGCGAGCGUUGUCCGGAAUUAUUGGGCGUAAAGAGCUCGUAGGCGGUGUGUCACGUCGGCCGUGAAAACCUGGGGCUUAACUCUGGGCGUGCGGUCGAUACGGGCAUCACUAGAGUUCGGCAGGGGAGACUGGAAUUCCUGGUGUAGCGGUGAAAUGCGCAGAUAUCAGGAGGAACACCUGUGGUGUAGACAGCUUACUGGACCACUUCUGACGCUGAGACACGAAAGCGUGGGUAGCAAACAGG